AGUGGCGGACGGGCGAGUAACACGUAAUCAAGCUACCUGCGAGACGGGGAUAACCUCGGGAAACCGAAGCUAAGACCCGAUGGCCUUCCUGAGCCGCAUGGUUCAGGGAGUAAAUGGGCGGGAUCCUUCGGGAUCGCCUGCUCGCAGAGGUGAUUGCGGCCCAUCAGCUAGUUGGUAGGGUAACGGCCUACCAAGGCUACGACGGGUAGCCGGCCUUAGAGGGUGGUCGGCCGCACUGGGACUGAGACACUGCCCAGACUCCUACGGGAGGCUGCAGUCGAGAAUCUUCCGCAAUGGGCGAAAGCCUGACGGAGCGACGCCGCGUGGAGGACGAAGGCCUUCGGGUUGUAAACUCCUGUCACGAGUUAAGAAGGGCAUGCAGCGAACAGCUGUAGGCUUUGACGUAAGCUCGAGAGGAAGCACUGGCUAACUCUGUGCCAGCAGCCGCGGUAAUACAGAGAGUGCAAACGUUGUUCGGAAUUACUGGGCUUAAAGCGCACGUAGGCGGCAUCGUAAGUGUCGGGUGAAAUCCCACGGCUCACCCGUGGAACUGCCCGGCAGACUGCGAUGCUCGAGUGUGGUAGGGGAGAGCGGAACUCCUGGUGGAGCGGUGAAAUGCGUAGAUAUCAGGAGGAACACCGGUGGCGAAGGCGGCUCUCUGGUCCACAACUGACGCUGAGGUGCGAAAGCUAGGGGAGCAAACGGGAUUAGAUACUCCCGGUAGUCCUAGCUGUAAACGAUGGGCACUAGC
This 751-nucleotide ribosomal RNA is filed under the name uncultured bacterium. RNAcentral's name for it is "bacterial SSU rRNA". It matches the Rfam family "Bacterial small subunit ribosomal RNA", at positions 94 to 820 of the family's 1533-position model. The record is from RNAcentral.